Molecule: ribosomal RNA, 530 nt
Filed under: Salmonella enterica subsp. enterica serovar Anecho
Lineage: Bacteria; Pseudomonadati; Pseudomonadota; Gammaproteobacteria; Enterobacterales; Enterobacteriaceae
Description: partial 23S ribosomal RNA
Rfam family: Bacterial large subunit ribosomal RNA
Source: RNAcentral
GGGUUGUGAGGUUAAGCGACUAAGCGUACACGGUGGAUGCCCUGGCAGUCAGAGGCGAUGAAGGGCGUGCUAAUCUGCGAUAAGCGCCGGUAAGGUGAUAUGAACCGUUAUAACCGGCGAUACCCGAAUGGGGAAACCCAGUGUGACUCGUCACACUAUCAUUACGUGAAUACAUAGCGUAAUGAAGCGAACCGGGGGAACUGAAACAUCUAAGUACCCCGAGGAAAAGAAAUCAACCGAGAUUCCCCCAGUAGCGGCGAGCGAACGGGGAGGAGCCCAGAGCCUGAAUCAGCAUGUGUGUUAGUGGAAGCGUCUGGAAAGGCGCGCGAUACAGGGUGACAGCCCCGUACACAAAAGCGCAUGUGCUGUGAGCUCGAUGAGUAGGGCGGGACACGUGGUAUCCUGUCUGAAUAUGGGGGGACCAUCCUCCAAGGCUAAAUACUCCUGACUGACCGAUAGUGAACCAGUACCGUGAGGGAAAGGCGAAAAGAACCCCGGCGAGGGGAGUGAAAAAGAACCUGAAACCGUGU